Molecule: ribosomal RNA, 479 nt
Filed under: Mesocestoides sp. A KP-2005
Lineage: Eukaryota; Metazoa; Platyhelminthes; Cestoda; Cyclophyllidea; Mesocestoididae
Description: partial ribosomal RNA
Source: RNAcentral
UCUGUCCGAGCGUCGGCUUAUAAACUAUCACUGCGCGUAAAAAGCAGUGGCUUGGAAGAUUGCCAGCUAACGCAGGCCGUGUAGUGUAAGGUGGUGGCGGCGGCGUUAGACAGCGAUGGCUUCUUCUUAAUGUGGCUUAGACGGCGGUGGCGGCGGCGGCGGCGAUGACGCUGUGCUCACGGUAGCAUUGCCGGUUGCCAGGCGAUGCUAGUUUGUGUGUUCGUUCCACCACCACCACCACCAAAUAUUGUGGAGUACUGUUGAUGGUGUCAGUGGUGGAGCACCGCUUGUUUUGUCAACAAUGAGUACACCACCCGCGGCUUAUUGUUUGUGCUUGCACCUAAUGUGGGCUCUAGACGACAGGUAGGCGUGCUACGAGAUGUUGUUGGUCGUCGUCGUCGUUGUUGGUGCUGCUGCUGCUGCUGCUGCAGCUGCUUUGAUGUGGCCUAAUGUGUGCCUGACCUCGGUUCAGUCGUGAG